AGGUUGUAGAGUGCUGCAUAUAUACAUGCCAUUCCCCAUCGUUUAGUCGUGUCAACUUACAUGUUUCUUGCCUUCAACUUCAGGUCCUUUGUGUUGCCGCCUGAAAACAUUAUGACUGUUGUCUGUGUGGCAAAAUAAUUAGCAUUCAGAUGAGGAGCAAUUCCCAUCUCUCGUACCUCGGGACUGCAUUGAGAGAAGAUGUGCAUUUGGAAAAGUUGAGUGGAUGAACAGUGAAAGAACGAACAGUGGGCAUUCAGAAGCAGUGCAAGAGCUCUCCUUGUUGCCAUGAAGCAAGUCUGUCACUUUUUGGGGUGAAUCUCUUGAGAUGGAAAACAGAGUGGCUGGUGCUGAAAUGAUUGCUUGACAGUCUGGCCUACUUAAAAGUGAAGAGUUGGACUGCAUAGAUAAUUUAUUUGGACUACUUUGUUUUGCAAUUCUUCAGCUUUCCAUCUGAGAGUACAUUCAAGGCCAUUUAUUUUAACAGUCAAAACUUGGAAAGGGAGAAAGAUUGUACAGAGACAAUAAGGCUAUGGAGAACCAUUCCUGGCAGCAGCAUCACUUCGUGACACCGAGGUAGGCUUUCAUGACAGAAUAACAUAA
RNAcentral lists this long non-coding RNA (600 nucleotides) under Anolis carolinensis (green anole). RNAcentral's name for it is "lncRNA (ENSACAG00000042313.1)". Lineage: Eukaryota; Metazoa; Chordata; Lepidosauria; Squamata; Anolidae. The record is from RNAcentral.